RNAcentral lists this unclassified non-coding RNA (211 nucleotides) under plant metagenome. RNAcentral's name for it is "partial contains small subunit ribosomal RNA, internal transcribed spacer 1, and 5.8S ribosomal RNA". The record is from RNAcentral.
UUUCCGUAGGUGAACCUGCGGAAGGAUCAUUCAUAAUAAAGUGUUUUAUGGCACUUUUUAAAAAUCCAUAUCCACCUUGUGUGCAAUGUUAGAUCUCCUCAAUCUUGGCGAGAUUUUUAUACAUCAACUCAUUCUUUAACUAAUUUGUCUGAAAAAUAUUAUGAAUACUUAAUUCAAAAUACAACUUUCAACAACGGAUCUCUUGGCUCUC